CCUACGGGGGCUGCAGUGGGGAAUAUUGGACAAUGGGCGAAAGCCUGAUCCAGCCAUGCCGCGUGUGUGAAGAAGGCCUUCGGGUUGUAAAGCACUUUCAGUGGGGAAGAAAGCCUUGGGGCUAAUACCCUCGAGGAAGGACAUCACCCACAGAAGAAGCACCGGCUAACUCCGUGCCAGCAGCCGCGGUAAUACGGAGGGUGCGAGCGUUAAUCGGAAUUACUGGGCGUAAAGCGCGCGUAGGCGGUCUGAUAAGCCGGUUGUGAAAGCCCCGGGCUCAACCUGGGAACGGCAUCCGGAACUGUCAGGCUAGAGUGCAGGAGAGGAAGGUAGAAUUCCCGGUGUAGCGGUGAAAUGCGUAGAGAUCGGGAGGAAUACCAGUGGCGAAGGCGGCCUUCUGGACUGACACUGACGCUGAGGUGCGAAAGCGUGGGUAGCAAACAGGAUUAGAUACCCGGUAGUC
RNAcentral lists this ribosomal RNA (463 nucleotides) under Vreelandella stevensii. RNAcentral describes it as "partial 16S ribosomal RNA". It matches the Rfam family "Bacterial small subunit ribosomal RNA", at positions 338 to 795 of the family's 1533-position model. Lineage: Bacteria; Pseudomonadati; Pseudomonadota; Gammaproteobacteria; Oceanospirillales; Halomonadaceae. The record is from RNAcentral.